This 487-nucleotide long non-coding RNA is filed under the name Solanum pimpinellifolium. RNAcentral describes it as "long non-coding RNA (SPIM_LNC000192)". The record is from RNAcentral. Lineage: Eukaryota; Viridiplantae; Streptophyta; Magnoliopsida; Solanales; Solanaceae.
UGGUUUUCUGCUUCCCCACUCUGUGGUUUCGUUCUUCACUGCCCUGCUGUGGGAUCUUCAAUUUCAAAGAUUGUGGAUCCCAGGUAGCUACAUCACUAGAUGCUUCUGUUUGCUUGAAUCUCUGCGGCUAUGACACGCCUCACCUCAAAGUGUAGUGGUAUAUAAAAAGUAGAUAUUAAAGAUGAUGAAUGGCAUCACAGUCAUAUGGCAGGUACCUAAUUUAUUACAGAGAGGUUGAGGAACUCACAUUCUCGUUAAACAAUUGAUUGCAUAUCAGCAAGGUCAUUGAUUGCACUUUCUCUCUGGUUUCGUUCUUCACUGCGCUGCUGUGGAAUCUUCAAUUUCAAAGAUUGUGGUUCCUAGCUAACUACAUCACUAGAUGCUUCUGUUUGAUUGAAUCUCUGCGGCUAUGACGCGCCUCACCUCAAAGUGUAGUGGUAUAUAAAAAGUAGAUAUUAAAGAUGAUGAAUGGCAUCCCAGUCAUAUG